RNAcentral lists this ribosomal RNA (500 nucleotides) under uncultured bacterium. RNAcentral's name for it is "partial 16S ribosomal RNA". It matches the Rfam family "Bacterial small subunit ribosomal RNA", at positions 29 to 523 of the family's 1533-position model. The record is from RNAcentral.
AUUGAACACUGGCGGCGUGCUUAACACAUGCAAGUCGAUCGGUAACGCGGGGGCAACCCUGGCGACGAGAGGCGGACGGGUGAGGAACGCUUGGGAAUCUGCCCUUCAGCGGGGGACAACACGGGGAAACUCGUGCUAAUACCGCAUACGCUCCACGGAGGAAAGCCGGGGACCGCAAGGCCUGGCACUGAAGGAUGAGCCCAAGUCGGAUUAGCUAGUUGGCGGGGUAACGGCCCACCAAGGCGACGAUCUGUAGCUGGUCUGAGAGGACGAUCAGCCACACUGGGACUGAGACACGGCCCAGACUCCUACGGGAGGCAGCAGUGGGGAAUAUUGGACAAUGGGGGAAACCCUGAUCCAGCGACGCCGCGUGGGUGAAGAAGGCCUGCGGGUUGUAAAGCCCUUUCGGUAGGGACGAAAGCUCUCGACCUAACACGUCGGGAGGUUGACUUAACCUACAAAAGAAGCACCGGCUAACUCUGUGCCAGCAGCCGCGGUAA